AUCUGGCGCUGCAAAGAAUUUUGUUGGGAGAGAAAAAAGAAAGGAAAGAGAAGAAGAGAAAGAAGAAGGAAGAAGAAGAGAAAGAAGAAGGAAGAAGCAGGAGCUACUGGUUUUGACAAAUUAGCAAUAUCUAGAGCUUAUUCAAGAAAUCGUUGAAGUUGUGAUAGGAAAAAUGAGAAAAUCAAGUUCAGUAUCUGGCGCUGCAAAGAAUUUUGUUGGGA
Molecule: unclassified non-coding RNA, 221 nt
Filed under: Hevea brasiliensis (rubber tree)
Lineage: Eukaryota; Viridiplantae; Streptophyta; Magnoliopsida; Malpighiales; Euphorbiaceae
Source: RNAcentral